GACCAGACUCCUACGGGAGGCAGCAGUAGGGCCUCUUGCUCAAUGGGGGCCACCCUGACGCCGCCACGCCGCGUGGCGGAUGAAGGUUUUCGGAUUGUAACCUCCUUUUGUUAGCGCCGCUAAUGACGGUCUCUCACGAAUAAGCACCGGCUAACUCCGUGCCAGCAGCCGCGGUAAUACGGAGGGUGCCCGCGUUACUCGGAAUCACUGGGCGUAAAGAGCGCGGAGGCGGGAUAGCAAGUCAGAUGUGAAAGCCUAUGGCUUAACCAGAGAACUGCAUUUGAAACUGUUAUUCUAGAGUAUGGGAGAGGUAGGUGGAAUUCUUGGUGUAGGGGUAAAAUCCGGAGAGAUCAAGAGGAAUACUCAUUGCGAAGGCGACCUGCGAGAACAUAACUGACGCUGAUGCGCGAAAGCGUGGGGAGCAAACAGGAUUAGAUACCCCCGUA
This 446-nucleotide ribosomal RNA is filed under the name uncultured bacterium. RNAcentral's name for it is "bacterial SSU rRNA". It matches the Rfam family "Bacterial small subunit ribosomal RNA", at positions 329 to 792 of the family's 1533-position model. The record is from RNAcentral.